RNAcentral lists this ribosomal RNA (261 nucleotides) under uncultured bacterium. Its description in RNAcentral is "partial 16S ribosomal RNA". It matches the Rfam family "Bacterial small subunit ribosomal RNA", at positions 159 to 418 of the family's 1533-position model. The record is from RNAcentral.
GGUGUUAAUCCCGGANAANUUUUUUGGGGUCCAUCCCUUGGAGAAGAAAGGGGAAACCCGCUUAUGGAUGGAUCCGCGUCCCAUUAGCUAGUUGGUGGGGUAACGGCCUACCAAGGCGACGAUGGGUAGCCGGCCUGAGAGGGUGGCCGGCCACACUGGGACUGAGACACGGCCCAGACUCCUACGGGAGGCAGCAGUGGGGAAUCUUCCGCAAUGGGCGAAAGCCUGACGGAGCAACGCCGCGUGAGUGACGAAGGCCCU